UACAUAGGGGGCGAGCGUUGUUCGGAAUUACUGGGCGUAAAGGGCGCGUAGGCGGCCUUCUAAGUCAGACGUGAAAUCCCUCAGCUUAACUGGGGAACUGCGACUGAUACUGGAUGGCUUGGAUCCGGAAGAGGGAUGCGGAAUUCCAGGUGUAGCGGUGAAAUGCGUAGAUAUCUGGAGGAACACCGGUGGCGAAGGCGGCACCCUGGGCCGGUAUUGACGCUGAGGAGCGAAAGCCAGGGGAGCAAACGGG
RNAcentral lists this ribosomal RNA (253 nucleotides) under uncultured bacterium. RNAcentral describes it as "partial 16S ribosomal RNA". It matches the Rfam family "Bacterial small subunit ribosomal RNA", at positions 524 to 776 of the family's 1533-position model. The record is from RNAcentral.